RNAcentral lists this ribosomal RNA (478 nucleotides) under uncultured bacterium. RNAcentral's name for it is "partial 16S ribosomal RNA". It matches the Rfam family "Bacterial small subunit ribosomal RNA", at positions 28 to 507 of the family's 1533-position model. The record is from RNAcentral.
GACGAACGCUGGCGGCGUGCUUAACACAUGCAAGUCGAACGGGAUUUAGUAGACAGAAGCCUCGGCUAAAGAUUACUAAUGAGAGUGGCGAACGGGUGAGUAACGCGUGAGCAACCUGCCUAUGACAGUGGGAUAGCCUCGGGAAACCGGGAUUAAUACCGCAUAAAAUCGUAGAAACACAUGUUUCAACGGUCAAAGAUUUAUCGGUCAUAGAUGGGCUCGCGUCUGAUUAGCUAGUUGGUGAGAUAACAGCCCACCAAGGCGACGAUCAGUGGCCGGUCUGAGAGGAUGAACGGCCACAUUGGAACUGAGACACGGUCCAAACUCCUACGGGAAGCAGCAGUGGGGAAUAUUGCACAAUGGGGGAAACCCUGAUGCAGCGACGCCGCGUGAACGAAGAAGGUAUUCGUAUCGUAAAGUUCUGUCCUAUGGGAAGAUAAUGACAGUACCAUAGAAGAAAGCUCCGGCUAAAUACGUG